GAUGAACGCUAGCUACAGGCUUAACACAUGCAAGUCGAGGGGUAACGAGAGGAAAGCUUGCUUUCCUUGUCGACGACCGGCGCACGGGUGAGUAACGCGUAUCCAACCUGCCCCCUACUAAGGAAUAACCUUGCGAAAGUAAGACUAAUACCUUAUAAUUUCCUCAGAUGUCAUCUGACGAGGAAUAAAGAUUUAUCGGUUGUGGAUGGGGAUGCGUCUGAUUAGCUUGUUGGCGGGGUAACGGCCCACCAAGGCAACGAUCAGUAGGGGUUCUGAGAGGAAGGUCCCCCACAUUGGAACUGAGACACGGUCCAAACUCCUACGGGAGGCAGCAGUGAGGAAUAUUGGUCAAUGGGCGGAAGCCUGAACCAGCCAAGUAGCGUGCGGGAUGACGGCCCUAUGGGUUGUAAACUGCUUUUAUACAGGAAUAAAGUUAGCCACGUGUGGUUAUUUGUAGGUACUGUAUGAAUAAGGACCGGCUAAUUCCGUGCCAGCCGCCGCCGUAA
RNAcentral lists this ribosomal RNA (506 nucleotides) under uncultured bacterium. Its description in RNAcentral is "partial 16S ribosomal RNA". It matches the Rfam family "Bacterial small subunit ribosomal RNA", at positions 28 to 523 of the family's 1533-position model. The record is from RNAcentral.